UAAAAGAUACUUUUGCAGCUCUUGGAGAUGCUUGAAUUUUCUUGCUUGAUUCCAAUCCUCCGGAAAAGGACAGCAUGGGUUGCAGGAAAAACAGCUUACCUUUAUAGAAGUACUGCAAUCAAAGCGAAAAGAUUUGGUUUGCCCAUUUUCAAGAUAUACUUUCAGAACAUUUGGCAUAAAAAGAAGUGAAUUAUCUUUAACUGUUUCCUGUUCAAAAAAUAAUAAUAGGGAGUGAACAAGGGCAAAAUCGAGGAGUUGAAAUCCAAAGAUACCAGAACUGAAAUGGCAU
Molecule: long non-coding RNA, 289 nt
Organism: Thamnophis elegans (Western terrestrial garter snake)
Lineage: Eukaryota; Metazoa; Chordata; Lepidosauria; Squamata; Natricidae
Exons: 3
Source: RefSeq, a predicted model, not a curated record